ACUCUGCUUGGGAAGUGUGAACAACUGGAGAAGAGCAAAUGUCAGCUGCAAGAAGAGGUGACAAAACUCCACCACCAUUUGGAGACUUUGGUGCUGGAUGGCAGCCAAAGAGAACAGUGUACAGGAGAGGUGGCAGAAGGAGCUGACCAGGAAAGAAGUGCAAAGCUACAAGAGGUCAGCCUCGUUUUGCAAGCACAGGCAGCCCACCAGGCCCCACUAGGACAAACUGGAGACAUUCAUUGUGAAUCCAUGAGAAUCCAGUUGGAAGAAAGAAUUAAAAAUCUGGAAAGGGAAUUGGAGAGGGUCAAAAACACCCAACAAGAGAGAGCUUCUCGUAAAGAAGCAACUCAGGGAGAGAUGGAAAGGUACAAAGAGCUGUAUCUGGAGGAAGUGAAAACCAGAAGAUGCCUUGCCAAGAAACUGGAAAGGCUGGAAAAGCUUCUGAGGAUAGAGAGGAGGAAACUCCGGGUUAAUGAAGAGAAAGGAAGUCAGUCCCAGCUGGAAGAAA
Pseudopipra pipra is the source of this 508-nucleotide long non-coding RNA. RefSeq lists it as uncharacterized. The record is from RefSeq and is a predicted model, not a curated record. NCBI's taxonomy places the organism in Eukaryota, Metazoa, Chordata, Aves, Passeriformes, Pipridae. The transcript has 3 exons.